UAAAUCUGCCUAUCAGAGGGGAAUAACAGUGAGAAAUCAUUGCUAAUACCGCAUAUACUAAUUUUAUUGCAUGAUAGAAUUGGGAAAGGAGCAAUCCGCUGACAGAUGGGCUUGCGUCUGAUUAGUUAGUUGGCAGGGUAAAGGCCUACCAAGACGAUGAUCAGUAGCCGGACUGAGAGGUUGAACGGCCACAUUGGGACUGAGAUACGGCCCAGACUCCUACGGGAGGCAGCAG
RNAcentral lists this ribosomal RNA (235 nucleotides) under uncultured bacterium. RNAcentral describes it as "partial 16S ribosomal RNA". It matches the Rfam family "Bacterial small subunit ribosomal RNA", at positions 121 to 354 of the family's 1533-position model. The record is from RNAcentral.